UAAGUAACCCAGGAAUGUAUUAAAACAUACAUUUUACCUAAAACUUACUUUUGGUUGGGGCGACCAUGAAGAAAAAAAGAACCUUCAUAAGGAACGGAAAACUCCUAAAACACGAACGACAGUUCUAAUUAACAGAAUUUCUGACCACCUAGACCCAGCAUUAGCUGAUUAAUGAACUAAGUUACCCC
Molecule: ribosomal RNA, 188 nt
Filed under: Opsanus environmental sample
Lineage: Eukaryota; Metazoa; Chordata; Actinopteri; Batrachoidiformes; Batrachoididae
Description: partial 16S ribosomal RNA
Source: RNAcentral